UUGAUCCUGGCUCAGGACGAACGCUGGCGGCGUGCUUAACACAUGCAAGUGGAGCGACGAACCGGGCUUCGGCCCGGGGCAAAGCCGCGAACGGGUGAGUAACACGUGGGUAACCCACCCCGAUGACCGGGACAACCCGAGGAAACUCGAGCUAAUACCGGAUGUUCUCGCUUCUCGUAAGGGAAACGAGCAAAGAUAGCUUCGGCCUUCGCAUCGGGACGGGCCCGCGGCCCAUUAGCUUGUUGGUGGGGUAACGGCCUACCAAGGCGACGAUGGGUAGCUGGUCUGAGAGGACGAUCAGCCACACUGGGACUGAGACACGGCCCAGACUCCUACGGGAGGCAGCAGUGGGGAAUCUUGCGCAAUGCGCGAAAGCGUGACGCAGCAACGCCGCGUGGGGGAAGAAGGCCUUCGGGUUGUAAACCCCUUUCAGUUGGGACGAAGCUUCGCCGGUUAAUAGCCGGCUGGAGUGACGGUACCUUCAGAAGAAGCCCCGGCUAACUACGUGCCAGCAGCCGCGGUAAUACGUAGGGGGCUAGCGUUGUCCGGAAUCAUUGGGCGUAAAGCGCGUGUAGGCGGUCCGGUAAGUCCGCUGUGAAAGUCGGGGGCUCAACCCUCGGAUGCCGGUGGAUACUGUCGGGCUUGAGUACGGAAGAGGCGAGUGGAAUUCCUGGUGUAGCGGUGAAAUGCGCAGAUAUCAGGAGGAACACCAAUUGCGAAGGCAGCUCGCUGGGACGUCACUGACGCUGAGACGCGAAAGCGUGGGGAGCAAACAGGAUUAGAUACCCUGGUAGUCCACGCUGUAAACGAUGGGCACUAGGUGUGGGGGGUGUCGACUCCCUCCGUGCCGAAGCUAACGCAUUAAGUGCCCCGCCUGGGGAGUACUGCCGCAAGGCUAAAACUCA
RNAcentral lists this ribosomal RNA (905 nucleotides) under uncultured bacterium. RNAcentral's name for it is "bacterial SSU rRNA". It matches the Rfam family "Bacterial small subunit ribosomal RNA", at positions 13 to 903 of the family's 1533-position model. The record is from RNAcentral.